CUGAGAGAGAAAAGGGAAUUUGUAAAUUGGAUUGGAUUGGAAGUGGAGGCAGCAAAGUGGAAAUCAAGCAAUUAAUCAAUCUGAGGGUAAGAAGUUGGAUGAUUGGGAUGUUGAGGUUUUGUAAAUCCAUGCUGUGAUCUGCAAAGGCAAAGAUAGAGUCUGCAAUUGCAAUCAAAUUGAAAUCGGACGGUGCUGUUGAAUUCUGCAAUGGCAUCGGCAGCGCCUAAUGUCGAUCUCUUCGAUGCCUAUUUUCGACGCGCCGAUUUGGAUCGAGACGGCCGUAUCAGCGGUGCCGAAGCCGUCUCCUUUUUCCAAGGCUCCGGUUUGCCCAAGCAGGUCCUUGCGCAGAUUUGGGCUUUUGCAAACCAAAGCCAAAGUGGUUUCCUCGGCCGUGCUGAGUUUUACAAUGCCCUUAAACUCGUCACUGUGGCACAAAGUAAGCGAGAACUAACCCCUGAAAUGGUUAAAGCAGCAUUGUAUGGCCCCGCUGCAUCUAAGAUUCCUGCACCUCAAAUUAAUUUCAGUGCCACAGUUUCACCGCCAUUAAAUUCUCCUUCACCUGCACCCGCACGCGCACCUGCACCCGCGCCCGCACCUGCACCACAGAUUGGCCCUGUUAAUCCUUUAUCCCACCAAAAUCUUGGACUAGGGCGGCCAGUUCCAAAUUCAACUGGUAACCAGCAAAACCUUCCUUCACAGGGUCAGGGAACUCAGUUAGCAAGGCCUCCUGCCUCUAACCUGCCACCUCGUGUUGCCGCACAAGGAAUCUCUGUUGCUGGAACCGUUGGCAUCUCAAGUUAUGGGUCCACUGGCAAGAUGGGUGGAACUCCGGAAGUAACAUCUUCUCAAACACCCGCAAGAGGAAGUAGUCCCAAGUCAAUGCAGGAGGGCUUUGGGCUUGCAACCACUGGAUCAAGUGCGGCGCUGGUACCUAGCCAAUAUCCUGCCCCUGGCUUGAGGUCAUCAGAUCCAUUGGUUAAGGAUUCUAAAUCAAUGGAUACUUCUGUUAAUGGUACUGCUUCUGAUUCAUUUUUUGGAGGGGAUAUGUUCUCAGCUAGCUCAUUUCGGCUAAAACAAACUUCUUCUCCACAAGGAUUUUCUUCUGGCAGUUCACUGCCUUCAUCAGCCAUUGUUCCUGUAUCUGGAGGUAAUCAGCAUUCUAUUAGGACUAGUACCCCUGACUCUUUGCAGGGCUCACUUGGAACCCAGCCUGGUGCACAGCUUCAGCAAGUCCAGCCGGUGGUGAAACUGGACCAGCAUGCUUCAGUCCAGACACAUAACAUGCUGAAUUCAUCUGGACUUCCAGGGAGGUUGCAGGACUCUGCUUCCGGUCAGCCUCAAUCUCCAUGGCCAAGGAUGACUCAGACUGAUGUACAGAAAUAUAUGAAAGUAUUCAUGGAAGUAGACACAGAUAGAGAUGGGAAAAUCACUGGGGAACAAGCGCGGAACUUGUUUCUUAGUUGGAGAUUACCAAGAGAGGUUUUAAAGCAGGUCUGGGACUUAUCUGAUCAAGAUAAUGAUAGCAUGCUUUCUCUAAGGGAGUUUUGUAUUGCAUUGUACCUAAUGGAGCGGCACAGGGAAGGACGCAUUCUUCCAGGAGUACUUCCUAGUAACAUUGUGCUUGAUUUACCAACUACUGGUCAACCAGCUGCUCUCUACGGUGCUGUAACUUGGGGAAAUCCAUCAGGUUUUCAACAGCAACAGGGGAUGACUGGUUCUGGUGCUCGACAAGUGAACCCUGCUGCAGGUCGCCCACCAAGGCCGGCUGCUGUCCCUCAGCCUGAUGAAGGAUCUCAGAACAAGCAGCAGAAAUCUAAAAUUCCAGUUUUGGAGAAGCACCUCAUAAAUCAGCUGAGUUCAGAUGAGCAAAAUUCAAUUAAUUCAAAGUUUCAAGAAGCAACAGAAGCUGAUAAGAAGGUGGAAGAACUUGAGAAAGAAAUUGUGGAAUCCAGAGAGAAAAUAGAAUUCUACCGUGCAAAAAUGCAGGAACUUGUUCUGUACAAGAGCAGAUGUGACAACCGUCUUAAUGAGGUCAUAGAAAGGGUAUCUGCUGAUAAGCAUGAGGUUGAGAUUCUAGCAAAGAAAUAUGAAGACAAAUAUAAACAAGUAGGAGAUGUAUCAUCCAAGUUAACUACAGAGGAAGCCACAUUUCGUGACAUACAGGAGAAAAAAUUUGAAUUGUAUCAAGCAAUUGUCAAGAUGGAACAGGACGGAAAAGGCGAUGAGACUCUACAGGCUCAUGCUGAUCGUAUCCAAUCUGACCUUGAUGAGCUUGUGAAAUCUCUGAAUGAGCGGUGCAAGAAGUACGGAUUACGGGCAAAGCCCACAACACUAUUGGAGCUACCCUUUGGCUGGCAACCUGGCAUCCAAGAAGGAGCUGCUGACUGGGAUGAGGAUUGGGAUAAGCUUGAAGAUAAAGAAUUUGCUUUUGUCAAAGAACUCACUCUCAAUGUGCAAAACAUAAUAGUGCCUCCAAAGCAAAAGUUGCCAUCAGCUGCAAACACGAAAACCAUGGACAUUGACAGUCCUACAUUCGCUGCUUCUCCUAAGAGCGAUGAUAGGUCAGAAAAUCCCCAGACUGCCAAUGAACAGGGAGUUGACAACGGAACUGUUCAUAAUAAAAGUGAAGAUGGGUCUGCUAAAAGUGCUCCUAAUAGUCCAUUUGCAAGCAGUGCUAUCGGAAGCCCACAUAGGGACUUUGCUGAUUCUGACAUUAGAAAGAUUGUUGGUGAAGAUAGCUCACCCCGUGAUCAAGAUACCAUACAAGAAACCCUAAGGUAUGGUUUUUGGUAUUUGUACACCAGUUUCCCAAAUGUGGGUCAGUUGCUCAUUUGAUCAUAUAAUUAGAGGUGUUUUCUUUUCUUUUUUUUGCUGAUCACUACUAUUCUGUGCCUUUGGAAGGUCAUGAUACUAUUAUUAUUAUAAUAUAAAAAUUGUGUUUGUUAUUAUUAAAAGCUCUUAGGCCCUUCCACCUAACAACUUAGUUCUCUAGGAGAUUUUCCCUUGACAUGGUUUUAGAGCCCUCUGAUCAUUUGGAUUAAGAGUUUGAUCUGGUGCUGCUGCCUUUCCCAAUCAUAUUAUAACUUUAGCUCAAGAUAAAGUGAGGUUGUGCAUUAUCCAUGCCAUGCUUCAACUCAAUGGGCUUCUGUUUGAGGGUGUGCGGUAGAGACCAACUUAUAGCUUAAGCUUUUAAGAUAGUCAUCUAUAAUAUAUGAUACAUUUAAGAGUCGCAAAUUGUUGUAUAAUAUCACUUUAUUGGUUUUGGCCUAUCAUUAUUUUUUAUGUAAGUCGAAGCUAAAUAGUGAUACUAUCAUCUUUCUCACCUUUGUGAGGAGGUUGCCAUGCUAUGCAUUUUUUACUUGGGUAUAAAACCCACUUUUCCAACUGGUCAUAAAAACCCACUUGUCUAACAAGGAUUGGUUCAAGUAUUACAUGUUUGACUUCGCUUAAGUAAGGUCUCGUGUAUGGAAAAUAUUCUCAUUGGGAAAGCUAACCUUAUCAUGAUGUAGAUGUUUCCAGUUCAAGCAAGAUUGCCUCUUGUGAAUGAUACUUGUGGUUUAGACUAAAAAAAGGAAAAUACCCAUUUGUCCAAAUAAAAUAUAAGGAUACUAAACUCGUUGCAGCUGAGUUGAGAUUACUCUACCAUUAACUAAAUAGAAUUUCAUGUUAUAAUUCCCUUGGGAGUUUUCAAGACAUCUUUGCCAUCUAAUGUGUUUAUAUUUCUGUUGACUGUAUCAUGCCUUCUUCCUUUCUCUCAUUUACUCCUUAUUUUUGCAACUUGAAAGGAAGCAUUUGACUUCUCCUCUACACAACUUGUUUCUUUGUAACUCACUCUAGUGGCUGAAAGUGUUGGUUUCUUUACUUAAUUGAUGGCAUUUUACAAAACAAGAUAUUAUAUUAAUAUUGAUAUCAUGUUUUGAAAUAUAUAUAAAAAAAUAUAUAUCAAUUUUUCCUUUUGGUUGGGUCGGGUCCAAGCAAAUGACAUCUGAUCAAAAUUUUGAGUUGGGUAAGGAUUAAGUUAAACCAUCCUUGGAAUAUCCCUAGUGCAUGGUAUGGACCUUCAUUCCCAACUUUAGAUUGAAAAGUUAUUUGUUGGUUUAAAAUUGAUUUUGACAUGCACCAGCGUCAAUCGAAACCCAUGUAUACUUCAUUUUAUAUUUUUGCAUGAUAUAGAUCCUGUGAUGUUACAAAAUAAUUGUUUGCAUAUAAUCUUGCAUAUGCAGUGAUCACGGUGGUGACAAGUCCGUGUUUUCUGGAGACAAAAUUUUUGAUGAACCAAAUUGGGGAACCUUUGACACGAAUGAUGAUAUUGAUUCAGUUUGGGGAUUCAAUGCCAGUAGCAUCAGUAAGGAGGAUAGAGAUCUUGACAGAGCUGGAGACAACUAUUUCUUUGGUUCUGGGGAACUGGGCCUCAACCCCAUCAAAACAGGUUCACCACAGGCUGGUGAUCUCUUCCAGAGGAGCAGUGGCUUCAGUUUUGAUGAUUCUGUUCCAAGUACACCACUUUUCAGCUCAAGCAGUUCCCCACACAGGCCCAAAGAGUGGUUGGAAACUGCUUUUGACAACUACUCAAGAUUUGAUUCUUUCAGAACACAUGAUAGCGUGUCUUUGCCUGCUCGGGAGACACCUAAACGAUUUGAUUCAGUGCACAGCAGUGCGGAUUUUGAUCAUGUUCAUGGGUUUCCAGCCUUUGAUGACUCGGAUCCCUUUGGCUCUGGGCCAUUUAGGACUUCAUCAGAUAGUCAAACUCCGAAAAGAGGAUCUGAUAAUUGGAGUGCUUUUUAGUUUAGCAAUUCUACCAUACUAGCAUUAUUUCUGUUUUUCAGGCUUUCCGACUGUUGCCUCUUGUGAGUGGGUUGUCUGUUUUGCUAUUUGGAACCUCUUAUUUGUAAUGUAUUCCUUGCCUUGUAUUUAACCCUGUGUAUUCCUUGUUCCUCACUUUUUCUUUGGGGAGGGGCGCGGGGUUGUAUCCAACCCAGCAAUCCCAUUCCCUUGUUAAACUGAAAGUGAAGGUCUGUAUAUUUUUGGCUUGUCGGUCGAUAAUUUUCCAAAGUCCCGCGGAAGAGGUUGUCGUAUUGAUGACUAAUUUGAGUGUUGUUUAAU
Molecule: RNA transcript, 5103 nt
Organism: Abrus precatorius (Indian licorice)
Lineage: Eukaryota; Viridiplantae; Streptophyta; Magnoliopsida; Fabales; Fabaceae
Gene name: epidermal growth factor receptor substrate 15-like 1
Exons: 13
Source: RefSeq, a predicted model, not a curated record